GACUCAGUGGUCCGAUGGUAAAGCGCUCGUCACGGAGCAAGAGGAUCCUGGGUUCGAUCCCCAACAGGGUCG
Molecule: transfer RNA, 72 nt
Filed under: Schistosoma japonicum
Lineage: Eukaryota; Metazoa; Platyhelminthes; Trematoda; Strigeidida; Schistosomatidae
Description: tRNA-OTHER
Source: RNAcentral